Molecule: long non-coding RNA, 712 nt
Organism: Gigantopelta aegis
Lineage: Eukaryota; Metazoa; Mollusca; Gastropoda; Neomphalida; Peltospiridae
Exons: 3
Source: RefSeq, a predicted model, not a curated record
CUUUAUCUUUUAUUUUCAGUCGUUAUUUCACAUAUAGACGUUGGAACCAGCUGUGCCUUUGGUUUAGAAAGUGUCGUCAGGAUGAUGUCAAAAAGCCGAACAGUGACGAAACUGAAGAAGAAAAACAACCCUUUGAUCCACCUGAGGUUGUGGUGCCAUCACAAUCACAUUAAAGACAUGAGUGAAGUGGAUAAAUAAAACUAAGAAGGUUGGCUUUGAACACGACUUUUGGAGAAUCAAUGAAGGUCAAUCAAUCACACGGAAGAUUACGGACUGUCCAGCCUAGUGACGCUGGUUCAAGCGUAGGAGACUGCGCCCAUCCCCAGUAAUAUAGAUAUGAAUAAACGUUGUUAUCCAGGGACAGAGAUCAAAUUGGAACCCGUACGCCUAUGAAUGCAGUUUUACAAUUUAUCAAACCAGGGUUGGACAUGGCAGUCCUCUCAAGUAGCGGUCUUAUUGGCUGAUUUCUGGGAACAAUAUUUACCUUGUCGAAACUUUUCUUUGACUAUCCUCGUUUACAGAUACGAUUUGUAUUGGUAUAACUCGCGCGAGGGUUCGUUUUGAUUAAAGGGACAGUCCUGGGUUUGCUGCAAUCUUUAAGAUAUUGUCGACUAACAGAGACGUUUUAACGACUGUAAUUGCAUACAAUAUUAGUGGCUGUAUAUUAAACGUGUUUCUGAUCGUUCUAGUAUUUGUAAUGGGUUAAAUUUCA